Molecule: long non-coding RNA, 881 nt
Organism: Ictalurus punctatus (channel catfish)
Lineage: Eukaryota; Metazoa; Chordata; Actinopteri; Siluriformes; Ictaluridae
Source: Ensembl
CCCAUCGUCUGACACGUAUAAUGACACAAAGGCCUCGUACAAAUGGUAAAUGUGUGAAGUUACCCAGAAGAAGGCUGAACCAUGGUUCUAUCGCAUAGGCAGUUGAGUCCCUGAGUUGCGCUUCAGGUAUAAGUUGUCCACGCUUCACUCUCACGCACUGGGGUGAGAUCUACCAUUUGAUCUUGAAAAUCUCCCUUAAUGUUCAGGGAAGGGAAACCAGGCAGGUUAUGCCUUUAAAGGGCUCGUGCCUUGUCCUUGAAAGAGCUCUUGCCCAGAUGUCAGACACUAGUCGCAACAGUCACAGCCCACCACCUGUCUCCGAGUUCCAAUGCGUCUUGAUCGCCACGCCGAUGAACAAGUAUGCCUUGCACCACGAUGCGCUAUAGGCUUCGAGCUGGGACCUCGUGGCGCAACGGAAGUGCGUCUGACUCCAGAUCAGAAGGUUCAAAUCAUGUCGGGGUCAUUCAAUGUGCUCUUUUUCACACAGACCCAUGAUUUAUUUUCUGUGCAGUCUAAUAAGGAUGCUGUUAUAUGGACUCCAAUCUCUAUGAUGACCACCCAUGUCUUUGUCAACUUCAUGCUAAAAGGUAACAAAGCUUAGGUAGCAACACUCUCACCUAGUAACCAUUAGUAACUUGACAACCUGCUGAAUGUUUACCCUUAGUUUGCCCAUUUUGCUUGCUGAACAAAACAUGCUGGAAAGAGGCACCUUAGAUGGUUUCACUGGACCUCUCAGAGGAUCUGGAGGGUACUACAACACCCAAACAGGGACUUGAACCCUGGACCCUCAGAUUAAAAGUCUGAUGCUCUACCGACUGAGCUAUCUGGGCUCGAGGAGCGAGAGCGCACUUUACCCUGGAGCUUGUAGGUCAGGCCUGUGG